AUGAGUACCGAGUCCAGGAACGGGAGCGACAUCGACCCGGAGAACGUCAUCGCCGUCACACUCGACGAUCUGUCGGAAGAUGAUCGGCGCGAGCUUGAACAAGAGAUUAAGAAAGAGAUGGCUGAGCGACUAAAAUUGCAGUUGACUGGAUACCGCAAGACAAGCAUCGGCAUCGUCAAGAAGGUGCAAUCGGCCAUUAAUGAAGAACGAUUGACGUUUACAGAAAGUUCUAAGAUGAAGCUCGAUAGUGACGCUUUUCCUAUCAAUGUGGUCAAGCUUGAGAGUAAGAAAAUGCUUAUUCGGUCGGAUCAGGCCGAAUUCGCAAGAAAGAAAAAUGUCGUUGAUGAUAAUGCUUCUCCAAGGAUGAUCAAACAAAAAAAUCCAGAAGUAGGAGUUUGGAAAGUCAAUGGAAGAAGGAAACAAGCUCCAAGACCAAAGCCGCCAGUUAGCAUGUUGUUGGAGAAGUACACCUCACGCAAGACCAGCAAUGUGUUUAACCGGCUUGGAGAUAAUAAACGUCUUAGAUCUCCUUCUGGACCUGGCGGUCAUGAGCAAUGGCAAAGAAAUUUAUAUGACCAGCAGCCCUAUAUUGCAAUGGAGCCGACGUAUUGGGUUGUGCACCUCCUAUGUACCCGCAGUUUCCUCCAUGGGGUUUUAAUCCUUGGGUGUCAUAUCCUACAGUGCCAGGUUAUUUUCACCCAAAAUGGGUUCUGCCGAGGCCUAUGUUCAGAGCAAACAUACAUGAGAAAAGGGCUCGGCUCAAUGAGGCAGCUAGAUCAUGUGAUGCAAUUGUUGUCCAAAGGGACCGGUCAUUGGUACGGAGUGCAUAUGGUGAAGUUCAUAUAG
RNAcentral lists this ribosomal RNA (846 nucleotides) under Triticum aestivum (bread wheat). Its description in RNAcentral is "partial small subunit ribosomal RNA". Lineage: Eukaryota; Viridiplantae; Streptophyta; Magnoliopsida; Poales; Poaceae. The record is from RNAcentral.